AAUUGUGCAACAUCAGCAGCAAUAUCAAGUCAUCAGAUGGGCACCCAGAGCAAAAGACCGAACCUUUAGCCCGGGACAGCCAGUUUUGGCUCGGGUUUAUACUUCCAGAGCGAAAUGGGUCCCAGCCACAAUCAUCACUCAAACAGGCUGGGCUAUCCCCUAAUAAUCUAACUCAGUUGCCAUAGCAACACCUUCCAGUCCUAUGAUUCUAUGAUUUAAAUGAAGAGGUCCAUUAUCUAAUGCAAGAAGAUAGCUUCUUCAGACAGUUCAUCAAUGCACUCCAGUACAACACUAUUGAAAUCUUUAGUCAGCUGUCAUUUUUUAUUUUUGUUUUUUUAAAUGAUGGCAGUGAAGAAACAGUGUUAUAUGGAAUGGGAGUGUCAUGUAUUACAUAAUAAACCAAAACACAGGAAAAGUUAUGAAAUAUAUAGAAAUGUAACGAAGUGCUAAUAAUCCAUUCACUGUGACAUCAUAUGUUUUGGUUCCAUACACAAACCAACACUCUGUAUGCUGUACAAAGAAGCAUAGUCAUUCCCAUAGACAAAUAAAUAAAUGAGAGGGAAGGAAGAGACAGUGGCAAACUUAAAAUGAGAAGUCCAGCCAGAGCUAAGUUUAGUAAGCAAUCAAGUAACAAGAGAUACUGAAGACAGUGCACUCCAGCCAAGAUCCUCAGGAAAGCUGGCACUGAACAUGGAGAAUCAGCCAACAGUGCUCUUUCAGCCCAGCUUGAUGCCUUCCAAACCUGCAGCAUGUUUACAGGCCUCGUUUUCCAGAAAGCAUGAGCUAUCAGUUGUGUGAGGAGAGCCCAUCAUUCUGAGCUGGAUGUGUUUGUCCUUAUCAUAAGAGGAGCAGUUUCAAAGAACAGAACUAUCUUAUGGACAUUUUGGGGAAGAGUCCAUCAAAUCAAGGACUGACUAAUAAUAUGAUGGAGACAAAAAAUCAUGGUGAGCUCAUCUAACACUGGUCAGAACUAUUCAAAAUAGCUGACAACACUAGGUGUUGGCUGAAGUUUUGGAAUGACAAGCUAUGAUGAUGAUAGAUAUUCUGUUAUCUGAAGCUCUGACUUCCUUAGCUGACCAACCAGCACUUUGCCAGAUGCUUGCUGAAAAUCCCAAAAGCAUAUGGGAGCACCUUGCACUACUACCAGUCAAUACCUACCUGAGUCUCAGUACUCCCUGAGGAGUGGGUGCCUUUUGAAGAUGUGGAAGUAAACAUCUAAAACCACUCUUGCUGGAGGAAAGUAGAGAACAUAAAUUAUCAUACAGAAUUUUAUUUUUCAGGUUCACUAGCUUUGCUUUUGGAGCGCUAGAAUAGCAUCAAGAUCCAUCUCCCUUCUUGCCCUCCUCCUAACUUUUGUGAGAUAAGGAAAUAACAGGAAAAAAUUGUUCUGUAAAAAUCAUCCAGGUGGUUUGUCUCCAAAUUCCUUUCCUGCUCUGUUCUAAAGAGGAAUUUGAGCAUUUUUGGAAAGAGCAAGGUUCACCAAGGCAGGGGCAGUGCCUGCCAUGUUGACUGGCAUAGGAUAUUUUGCUGACAUUGUAUGCCGCCUAAGUUCAUAGUGUUUCUCUCAGUCUGUCAUCUUGUAUGGCCUACAGACCUGACAAGAAAGAUACUGCAACCUACAAUCAGCUACUCUAUCUUCUAAUACUGAAUUUCAAAAGAAAAUGUCAAGAAAUAUGGAGAAAAAAUAACAAAAACUUUGAACAUACCUGGAGGGAUGGUCUGUCACCCAUUGUUCCCAGUGGAAAGGCAAGAAAAAAGGUUGGACACCAGAGUGAACAGAAACUGCUAUAGUGAUGAGUCCUUAUGCACACCAUGCCAGAGAAGGGGCUUCUUCUGCACACCAUGGAAGGCCAGUCACAAUCUGGCCCUGAGGUUUUGGGUAAAAAAAUUCUGAGAGGCUCUGAGCACCAAUGAAUAACUUCCAAUGGGAGCUGUAGAUGCUUGUCUUUUUUCAGGAUUUGAUCCUGGGUUGUCACUUAUUUGCUAUAAAUGCUAGAACUCGAGUUACUUCAUAUCCACUUUGAAUGUUUUAUCUUAUUUGUUAAAUUAGGAUAGCAGUUUAAAUGCUUUGAAAAAGGGUAAUAUUUAAAUCCUUUAAUUAGAAAAUGGAGUUCAUCUUACAUCUCUCAAUACUGCAGUAGGAAACUGAAAAACAUGGUGCUCACUUUAUGCUUUACCAACAGCUACUCAGUAAAAGUAUAAUUCAUAACAGAUAGAGACAAAUCAUCUGAUGGCAGAGGUUAAAAGAAACCUGUUACUAUGACAACAGAUAGGGUCAGAUAACAAAAUGAACAGCCACUUUUGAUCUUCAAAAAAUUCUUUUUCCUUUGCUCUCUCCUCUGUUAUCUGGACCACUCCAUCAAACACCUAGCAGAUAACAGAGUUGAAAACCCAAUCGACCUUCAAGGAAGACUAGACAAGUUGGAAAGUCUAUGGAAAGGUUACUAUUACAGUGGAAGUGCUUGUCAUGAUAUUUUCUCUGUGUGUGUGCAUGUGUAUGUGUAUUUUACUAAAGUAACAAGAUUCUGUUCAAAAGGUUUUA
Molecule: RNA transcript, 2542 nt
Organism: Mauremys reevesii (Reeves's turtle)
Lineage: Eukaryota; Metazoa; Chordata; Testudines; Geoemydidae
Gene: IRX2
Gene name: iroquois homeobox 2
Exons: 5
Source: RefSeq, a predicted model, not a curated record